UACAGAGGGUGCAAGCGUUAAUCGGAAUUACUGGGCGUAAAGCGCGCGUAGGUGGUUUGUUAAGUUGGGUGUGAAAGCCCCGGGCUCAACCUGGGAACUGCAUCCAAAACUGGCCAACUAGAGUACAGUAGAGGGUGGUGGAAUUUCCUGUGUAGCGGUGAAAUGCGUAGAUAUAGGAAGGAACACCAGUGGCGAAGGCGACCACCUGGACUGAUACCGACACUGAGGUGCGAAAGCGUGGGGAGCAAACAGG
This 253-nucleotide ribosomal RNA is filed under the name uncultured bacterium. RNAcentral's name for it is "partial 16S ribosomal RNA". It matches the Rfam family "Bacterial small subunit ribosomal RNA", at positions 524 to 776 of the family's 1533-position model. The record is from RNAcentral.